UUGUGAGGUCAUUUAUUGGCGGGGAGCGGCAGACGGGUGAGUAACGCGUGGGAAUCUACCUGGCUCUGCGGAAUAACCUGAGGAAACUCGGACUAAUACCGCAUACGCCCUUCGGGGGAAAGAUUUAUCGGAGUUGGAUGAGCCCGCGUUUGAUUAGCUAGUUGGUGGGGUAAAGGCCUACCAAGGCGACGAUCAAUAGCUGGUCUGAGAGGAUGAUCAGCCACAUUGGGACUGAGACACGGCCCAAACUCCUACGGGAGGCAGCAGUGGGGAAUAUUGGACAAUGGGCGCAAGCCUGAUCCAGCCAUGCCGCGUGAGUGAUGAAGGCCCUAGGGUUGUAAAGCUCUUUCAACGGUGAAGAUAAUGACGGUAGCCGUAGAAGAAGCCCCGGCUAACUUCGUGCCAGCAGCCGCGGUAAUACGAAGGGGGCUAGCGUUGUUCGGAAUUACUGGGCGUAAAGCGCACGUAGGCGGAUCGUUAAGUGAGGGGUGAAAUCCCGGGGCUCAACCCCGGAACUGCCUUUCAUA
RNAcentral lists this ribosomal RNA (527 nucleotides) under Mesorhizobium wenxiniae. Its description in RNAcentral is "bacterial SSU rRNA". It matches the Rfam family "Bacterial small subunit ribosomal RNA", at positions 72 to 632 of the family's 1533-position model. The record is from RNAcentral. Lineage: Bacteria; Pseudomonadati; Pseudomonadota; Alphaproteobacteria; Hyphomicrobiales; Phyllobacteriaceae.